CUGCAGUCAAUUAAGCUGACUGUGCUCUUUCCCCGUGGGGCCCAGAGAGCAAUGGCUGCACACAGCAGCCUCCUUGGUACUGUAUGCAGCCUGUUGAUUGUACGGGUUGCCCUAAGGGACCUUGGAGACAGCU
RNAcentral lists this small nucleolar RNA (133 nucleotides) under Suricata suricatta (meerkat). RNAcentral's name for it is "Small nucleolar RNA SNORA70 (ENSSSUG00005012551.1)". It matches the Rfam family "Small nucleolar RNA SNORA70". From Rfam's summary of the family: snoRNA U70 seems to be exclusive to mammals and is a member of the H/ACA class of snoRNA which contain H (ANANNA) and ACA box motifs. H/ACA box snoRNAs are involved in the conversion of uridines to pseudouridines (5-ribosyluracil) a constituent of structural RNAs (transfer, ribosomal, small nuclear, and small nucleolar). The record is from Rfam by way of RNAcentral. Lineage: Eukaryota; Metazoa; Chordata; Mammalia; Carnivora; Herpestidae.